ACUUUGUGCUGUAUUAAGUAAUUUGGACUGUAUUCUGUAGGUAAAGCAGAGUUGCCAAUUGACAUGUUAGCAACAGUGCAGUGACAUGAUUGGACUUGUGCUUUCUGGUAGCAGGAUGGGUUGGAUGGAAGUGGGCAGGACUAAUGCAGGAAGUCAGUUUGACGUCAUUUUUGUGAUACAGGAAGCAGAUGCUGAGGACUUGGAUGAGGACGGGCACCAAAUCUGCGUUGUCGAUUGCUAUUUCCCAGGUUGAGUUGCUGAAGCGGCUUCAUUGUCUGGGGACAUACCCAAGGUUCGUCAUCGCGUGACGAGAAGAUUAAGGACACAGACGCAAACACGGAGCGGGUCAAGUAGCGGAAAGUUUAAUAGGCAGGAAAGAAGAGAACAGCUCACCGGUAGAGAGGGUCUUGCUCUGUCAUCCAGGCUGGAGUGCAGUGGCACAAUCAUGGCUCACUGCAGCCCCAACUUACUGGGCUCAAGUGAUCCUCCCACCUCAGCCUCCUGAGUAGCUGGGACCACAGCCGUCAAUGGUGUGCCAGAUAAGAAGCUAUGCACUGAAAAGAUGGAGAGGAGCGGCGAGAUUCUGCAUCUUAGCUUGCCUAGGUGGGGAGAUGGAGUCUUGUUCUGUUGCCCAGGCUGCAGUGCAGUGGCAUGACCUCUGCUCAGUGCAAACUCCACCUCCAGGUUUCAAGCAAUUCUCCUGCUUCAGCCUCCCGAGUAGCUGGGACUGCAGGCGUGCACCACCACACCCAGCGAGUUUUGUCUUUUCAGUAGAGAUGGGGUUUCACAUGUUGGCCAGGCUGGUCUCAAACUCCUGACCUCAAGCGAUCCUCCCUCCUUGGCCUCCCAAAGUGCUGGGAUUACACCCAGCCCCAGCAUAUUCUUUUAAUCAUAUUCAUUUGCUCAUGGUACAGGCACUUAAGUUUUUUAGAAUCCUUAAUGUCUCAUAAUGUUACCAUCUUGAAUUUUGUAAAAGUUUAAUAUCUAAAUAUGCUAAACAAAAUAUGCUGAAGAAGAAAUUAAGCUUAAUGUGUAAUGAAAGACAAAUGGAAAAGGUGGCUUAUGACGUACCUUAGAAAAUAUUCCCUAGAAAUGUGUAGAAAAGAGAAUGAUGAUGUCUACAGACAAAAUUUGUCAGAAGAAAUGAGUCAGUUAGGUCAGCCAGUCAGUAGAUUGGCUGAGAAUCAGUAGAUCUGUUAAAUGACUGUCGUGUGUGUGUGUGUGUGUGUGUGUGUGUGUGUGUGUGUCGGGGGUAGAUAGUAAAUUCUAAUAAAGAAUAUUUAGCCCAUUUGUUAUUAGACUAGUUCACCCAAUAAUGAAAAUUGUAAUCCUCCAAGUACAAAAACAAUGUUAUAAAAAACUAAAUGAGCAGCUCAUGGAGGUCACACAGAUGCCUAAGCUCAACAUGUCCAUAAUUUAACAACUUUCAUCCCUUAUUCUGCUGUUUCUUCAGCAAUCUUUUUCUUGGAUGUAUAGCUCUGCCAUCUGUGUUAGCCAACCCAGAGACUUUCUUUCUUCCCCCAUAUCCAAGUUAUAAAAAUCUUACCUGCUUUAACGCAUCUCUGAUCACUGUUCUCAAAUUCUCUGCUUCAGUCACACUGAGAUUUUUCUCUUUCCCCUGGGCCUUCCCUCUUUGGGACAUGUUCUCUCUAUCCCCAUGAAUUCUUGUUAGUAAGUUUAAAGUGAGCCUAAGCAUCUGUGUUGUUAGCAAAAUUUUCAGAUGAUUUUACACCCAGUCCAAGAAUCAUUUUAUUGAGACAUUUCCAGUUACUUACUUUGUGCAUCUAUACUUCUGUCUUCUCCUUUCCUCUUUCUUCAGUGAUUGAUCCAUCCCUGCUUGUUUAAGGUCAACGCCUCCAUCUGCAUCUGGAUGGCAUCCUAUCUCUCCCACUCAACACAUUGUUCCUGCAAUUGCUCCCUCUCUCUAAUGCAGCAUCAAUUCUUCUCUCUCUACUUGAUGAUUCCACCAGCAUACGGACAUGCUGCCAUGGCUUCCUAUUUUAAGCAAAAUAAACAAAAUACUCUCCAGAUGCCUCUCUUUAUGGACUCUUUAAAUCACUGCCUAUAUUUAUUGCCUUCCUUUUCUCAACUCACAUUCUCUUUAAACUCACACUGACCAAUCUUUCAGACCCUCCACUUCUUGAAAAUUACUCUUGUUAAUGUGGCCAAUGACGUGUAUUAACACGCAUACUGAUACUCAGUUCACAGUUGAAACAUUUUUUUCUUAUAAAUGUUUUCUUUACAUUUAUGGUCUCUAGAUGUUGAGGUGGCUCAGGGAUCAUCUAUUUAUUUAUUUUUAUUUAUUUUUCUUUUUUUUCUUUCACCUGUCAGCUCAUACCUAGCCGUCUUCUAUUUUUUGGGUUUGCUCACUUCCUUGAUGAUCUCGUAGAGCUCAAAGCCUCAAAUAAGAUCUAUAUGUGACACUGAUAUAUAUAUAUAUAUAUAUAUAUAUAUAUUUCCAGCUUUGACCUUUCCCCAACCUCAAGAAUUUUAUAUACAACUGCCUACCUGACAUUUCCACCUGGAUGUCUAAUACAAAUUUUCAGUUUAACAUGUCCAAAACCACACUCCUGUUUUUCUCUGCCCCCUUCUUAAUCCUGCUCCUCACCUAGUCUUCCCCACAUCAAUAAUGACAAGUACAUCCCUUCACAACUCUAGUUUCUCAAGCUACAGUUAACUCUUCUUUCUCUUUUAUACUGUACAUCUAAUCCCUCUCUAAUUUCCAAUAGGUUGGCUUUACCUUCAAAAUACAUCCAGAAUCCAACUGCUUCUCACCAUUGCUAUUGCUACCACUCUGGUUCAAAUGACCAUCAUCUCUUGCAUUCUUGUACCCUAUAGGUUAUGCUCCUUACAACAGAUAAAAUGCCCCUUUUAAAUCAUAAUUCAGAUUAUAUUACCUCUUAGUUCAAAACCCUUCAGUGGCUCCCAUCUCAUUUACAAUAAGGGUAAUGCUUUUCCAGUAGUUCCCAAUAUUUCAAGCUAACAGACCCUCUGAUCUCAUGUCCUACCAUUGUUUCCUUCACCAAGUCUGCUUUAGCUUCACUGGCCUUCUGGAUAUUUCUUCAACACACUAGACAUGUGUUAUGAACUGAAUGUUUGUGUCUCCCUAGAUUAAUAUGUUGAAGCCCCUUUCUCCAAUGUGAUGAUAUGUGAAGAUGAGGCCUUUGGGAGGUAAUUAGGGUUAGAUGAGACCAUAAGGGUGGGACUUUCAUAAUGGGAUUAGGGCCUUUGUAAGAGGAGACACCAGAAAGCUUGCUUUCUCUUUUUCUCCUGCUCAUGCAUGCACUAAGAAGGUUAUGUGAGCACAAUGAGAUGACAGCCACCUAUAAGCCAAGAGACCAGGCCUCAGAAUAAAACCUACCAUGCCAGCACCUUGAUCUUGGACUUCCAAGCUUUCAGAACUAUGAGAAAUAAAUUUCUGUUGUUUAAGCCACCCAGUUGAUGGUGCUCUGUGAUGGCAGCCUGAAGUAGUACAGAAUGAUCCCAUUUCAUAGCUUUUGCACUUGCCACUCUCCUACCUUGAAUACUCUUCUCUCAUAUACUUCUUUGCUCAUUUUCUCACCUCCUUCAGGCUUUCCUCAAUGUUGCUUUAGUAAAGUCUUCUCUGACCGCUCUGUUAAAAAUUGCAACCCCUGCCAGGUGCGGUGGCUCACGCCUGUAAUCCCAAUACUUUGGGAGGCUGAGACAGGUGGAUCACCUGAGGUCAGGAGUUCCAGACCAGCCUGACCAACAUGGUGAAACCCUGUCUUUACUAAAAAUACAAAGUUAGCCGGGCAUGGUGGCGCAUGCCUGUAAUCCCAGCUACACGGGAGGCUGAGGCAGGAUAAUCACUUGAACCCAGAGGGCAGAGGUUGCAGUGAGCCGAGAUUGCGCCAUUGCACUCCAGGCUGGGCAACAAGAGUGAAACUCUGUCUCAAAAAAAAAAAAAAAAUUGCAACCCCUUCCCCUACCCUGUCUGACUGCACUGUAUUUAGAGCUAUUUGGCACGUGCGCAUGCGCGCGCGCGCGCACACACACACACACACACACACACACACACACACACACACACACACAUCUGAUUUUUUUCUGUUUAUUCCCAGUUGAAUGUUAUGUCCAUGACAGCAGGGAUUUUUACCUAUUGUGUCUGCUGGUGUAGUCCCAGUAACUAAAUUGGUGAUGGCACAAAAAUGGAAAGACAGUUAUUUUUAAAGAGAUGUUAUUAUUUAUUUAUUUUUUCUUUUUUUUAAAGUUU
Long non-coding RNA from Gorilla gorilla gorilla (western lowland gorilla), 4234 nucleotides. RefSeq lists it as uncharacterized. The transcript has 6 exons. Lineage: Eukaryota; Metazoa; Chordata; Mammalia; Primates; Hominidae. The record is from RefSeq and is a predicted model, not a curated record.